UACGAAGGGGGCUAGCGUUGCUCGGAAUCACUGGGCGUAAAGGGUGCGCAGGCGGUUGGGUGUGUCAGAUGUGAAAUCCCGAGGCUCAACCUCGGAACUGCGUCUGAAACUACUCGACUAGAGUACUGGAGAGGGUAACGGAAUUCACGGUGUAGCAGUGAAAUGCGUAGAUAUCGUGAGGAACACCAGAGGCGAAGGCGGUUACCUGGACAGUUACUGACGCUCAGGCACGAAAGCUAGGGGAGCAAACAGG
This 253-nucleotide ribosomal RNA is filed under the name uncultured bacterium. RNAcentral describes it as "partial 16S ribosomal RNA". It matches the Rfam family "Bacterial small subunit ribosomal RNA", at positions 524 to 776 of the family's 1533-position model. The record is from RNAcentral.